Molecule: long non-coding RNA, 234 nt
Organism: Herpailurus yagouaroundi (jaguarundi)
Lineage: Eukaryota; Metazoa; Chordata; Mammalia; Carnivora; Felidae
Exons: 3
Source: RefSeq, a predicted model, not a curated record
CCCGCCCCUCCAAGGUCAGCAAGCGGGCCAAGCAGGAAUCCACUUUCUUCUCCAAGGCCUGGAUGGCGGCCACCACCGUCCACAGUGUGAUCUCCGUGGAGUACAGCUCCAUUUCCCGUUUCCCUCCCGGCACCUAGCAGAGCCGGCAAAAGCAGGAAAAUCACUACAGCUGAAGCUCGACAUGACUGAAACCAACAUCUGGGAAGUCUUCCCACCACUCCCUCUUAACCCCCC